UUGACCUCGGAUCAGGUAGGGAUACCCGCUGAACUUAAGCAUAUCAAUAAGCGGAGGAAAAGAAACCAACAGGGAUUGCCUCAGUAACGGCGAGUGAAGCGGCAAAAGCUCAAAUUUGAAAUCUGGCUCCUUCGGGGCCCGAGUUGUAAUUUGUAGAGGAUGCUUCGGGCGUGGCCGCGGUCUAAGUCCCCUGGAACGGGGCGUCGCAGAGGGUGAGAAUCCCGUCUUCGGCCGGCCGGCUUCGCCCAUGUGAAGCUCCUUCGACGAGUCGAGUUGUUUGGGAAUGCAGCUCUAAAUGGGUGGUAAAUUUCAUCUAAAGCUAAAUACUGGUCGGAGACCGAUAGCGCACAAGUAGAGUGAUCGAAAGAUGAAAAGCACUUUGAAAAGAGAGUUAAACAGCAUGUGAAAUUGUUGAAAGGGAAGCGCUUGCGACCAGAGUCGGCCGCGGGGGUUCAGCGGGCAUUCGUUGCCCGUGCACUCCCCCGUGGCCGGGCCAGCGUCGGUUUCGACAGCCGGUCAAAGGCCCCCGGAAUGUGUCACCCUUCGGGGUGUCUUAUAGCCGGGGGUGCAAUGCGGCCAGUCGGGACCGAGGAACGCGCUUCGGCACGGACGCUGGCUUAAUGGUCGUAAGCGACC
RNAcentral lists this ribosomal RNA (636 nucleotides) under [Emmonsia] crescens. Its description in RNAcentral is "eukaryotic LSU rRNA". It matches the Rfam family "Eukaryotic large subunit ribosomal RNA", at positions 1 to 649 of the family's 3401-position model. The record is from RNAcentral. Lineage: Eukaryota; Fungi; Ascomycota; Eurotiomycetes; Onygenales; Ajellomycetaceae.